Molecule: long non-coding RNA, 976 nt
Filed under: Sus scrofa (pig)
Lineage: Eukaryota; Metazoa; Chordata; Mammalia; Artiodactyla; Suidae
Description: lncRNA (ENSSSCG00015024299.1)
Source: RNAcentral
UUUUUUUUUUUUUGGAGCCCUCUCCACUUAAAUGAGUUGGUGACAAUGGCAUACUACUCGCCUAAGAACCGGGGCAACUCAUCUCUGCUCUAGGCCUUUGAUAAACCAACAAUUAAUUCACGAAUGCCUCAAAUUCCUAAUCUUUAAAAAAGGCAUUCCAUGUGGGUGAUAUUUUCAGGAAUCAACAGCUAAUGUUCCCCCACCCACUCCUGAAGCUAUGCUAUCAACCCAGCAGGCCAUUAUAACCCAGGGGCUCCUAAGCACAAAGACUUUCUAUGUUCCCCAUUUCUUGUUUUUAGGAAAUGGGCCUUUCAGCCUCCAUCACCUUCCCUGAGUUCCUGGGGACAGGUCAGACAGUUGCUCAUCAGAGAAGAAAGGGGACACAAAGACAAGGGAGGAACAGUUAAGAAACAAUAGUACAGGCUUGGGGGCAAGAUCCCAGUUCCCUCUCAAGGGACACACAUAACAACGUAGGCAUCUCAUACGCCUAAGAGAAAAGUUCUAUUCCUUAUGCUUCUCUUAGAAACGACUGUUUUAAAAUUAAGCUUAGAGUCCUUCCUUGUCCUUCUCCCUGGCUUAAUUGCACCCUAAACACGAUCACCUGUAAGCUAAAGAUUAGGAACCCUGAGCACAAUCACAUGUGAUUAAUGAAGAAUAUUAGCACAUGAUGUUUUUCAGGAACCUUCCCUAUUUUGUUCCAAUCUCUGAUCAAUAUGCCCCUUUCCAAUGUACUAUUGUUCUAGGCAACAAGCCAGAAGACCACCAUCAUGAUCAUGCCAGAUCUCCUGACGUCAGCUUUGAUGACUAAGAUUCCCCCAAAGAAAGAUGAAUGCAUGUUUGCCCUCAUCUCGAUUCCUAUCGAAAACCUGUUUUUCUCCUUUUUACUAUAAAACUCCCCGCAAUUCUUCCCAAAGGAGGGCACAGUCUUCAAGGCACAAAGAGGGAGAAAAAAAUGAAGCUGCGGAAGAAGACGGUG